GACGAACGCUGGCGGCGUGCCUAAUACAUGCAAGUCGAACGCAUUUUCUUUCACCGUAGCUUGCUACACCGAAAGAAAUGAGUGGCGAACGGGUGAGUAACACGUGGGUAACCUGCCCAUCAGCGGGGGAUAACACUUGGAAACAGGUGCUAAUACCGCAUAAUUCCAUUUACCGCAUGGUAGAUGGAUGAAAGGCGCUUUGCGUCACUGAUGGAUGGACCCGCGGUGCAUUAGCUAGUUGGUGGGUAACGGCCUACCAAGGCUGCGAUGCAUAGCCGACCUGAGAGGGUGAUCGGCCACACUGGGACUGAGACACGGCCCAGACUCCUACGGGAGGCAG
RNAcentral lists this ribosomal RNA (340 nucleotides) under uncultured Bacillota bacterium. RNAcentral describes it as "bacterial SSU rRNA". It matches the Rfam family "Bacterial small subunit ribosomal RNA", at positions 28 to 351 of the family's 1533-position model. The record is from RNAcentral. Lineage: Bacteria; Bacillati; Bacillota.